This 459-nucleotide ribosomal RNA is filed under the name uncultured bacterium. RNAcentral's name for it is "partial 16S ribosomal RNA". It matches the Rfam family "Bacterial small subunit ribosomal RNA", at positions 338 to 795 of the family's 1533-position model. The record is from RNAcentral.
CCUACGGGUGGCAGCAGUGAGGAAUAUUGGUCAAUGGUCGGGAGACUGAACCAGCCAAGCCGCGUGAAGGAUGAAGGUACAGAGGAUCGUAAACCUCUUUUGUCAGGGAACAAAGGCGGGUACGUGUCCCCGGAUGAGUGUACCUGAAGAAAAAGCAUCGGCUAACUCCGUGCCAGCAGCCGCGGUAAUACGGAGGAUGCGAGCGUUAUCCGGAUUUAUUGGGUUUAAAGGGUGCGCAGGCGGUCUGUUAAGUCAGCGUGAAAAGCCCGGGGCUCAACCCCGGACCGCCGUUGAAACUGGCAGUCUUGAGUUGGAGAGAGGUAUGCGGAAUGCGCGGUGUAGCGGUGAAAUGCAUAGAUAUCGCGCAGAACUCUGAUUGCGAAGGCAGCAUGCUGGCUCCACACUGACGCUGAGGCACGAAAGCGUGGGUAUCGAACAGGAUUAGAUACCCCGGUAGUC